GAACGCGUCUCCGUUAAUGAUUUUAGGUGCUUGCACUUGAAAGAUUUAACAUUGAGACGAGUGGCGAACUGGUGAGUAACACGUGGGUAACCUGCCCUUGAAGUAGGGGAUAACACUUGGAAACAGGUGCUAAUACCGUAUAACAACCAAAACCACCUGGUUUUGGUUUAAAAGACGGCUUCGGCUGUCACUUUAGGAUGGACCCGCGGCGCAUUAGCUUGUUGGUAAGGUAACGGCUUACCAAGGCGAUGAUACGUAGCCGACCUGAGAGGGUAAUCGGCCACAUUGGGACUGAGACACGGCCCAAACUCCUACGGGAGGCAGCAGUAGGGAAUCUUCCACAAUGGACGAAAGUCUGAUGGAGCAACGCCGCGUGAGUGAUGAAGGGUUUCGGCUCGUAAAACUCUGUUGUUGGAGAAGAACAGGUGUCAGAGUAACUGUUGACAUCUUGACGGUAUCCAACCAGAAAGCCACGGCUAACUACGUGCCAGCAGCCGCGGUAAUACGUAGGUGGCAAGCGUUGUCCGGAUUUAUUGGGCGUAAAGCGAGCGCAGGCGGUUUUUUAGGUCUGAUGUGAAAGCCUUCGGCUUAACCGGAGAAGUGCAUCGGAAACCGGGAGACUUGAGUGCAGAAGAGGACAGUGGAACUCCAUGUGUAGCGGUGAAAUGCGUAGAUAUAUGGAAGAACACCAGAGGCGAAGGCGGCUGUCUGGUCUGUAACUGACGCUGAGGCUCGAAAGCAUGGGUAGCGAACAGGAUUAGAUACCCUGGUAGUCCAUGCCGUAAACGAUGAGUGCUAAGUGUUGG
RNAcentral lists this ribosomal RNA (806 nucleotides) under uncultured bacterium. RNAcentral describes it as "bacterial SSU rRNA". It matches the Rfam family "Bacterial small subunit ribosomal RNA", at positions 31 to 826 of the family's 1533-position model. The record is from RNAcentral.